Molecule: long non-coding RNA, 2233 nt
Organism: Betta splendens (Siamese fighting fish)
Lineage: Eukaryota; Metazoa; Chordata; Actinopteri; Anabantiformes; Osphronemidae
Exons: 2
Source: RefSeq, a predicted model, not a curated record
AGGAAAACGGCUGUGGUGCUUGUUUACAUCCAGCAUUUACUGGCUUAACGCUAGAAGCUGAGAAGUGGGGAGUGUGGUUCUCAGGAACUUGAACAUGAUUGGCUAGGGGUAACCCUGGCAACGCCAUACUUGGGCAUUUUCCGCCUUGCUUGGGCUGAAACGAGGCUUACGGCCUCUAUCUUGUAGUCUCCGCUUUAGUUUCUGUUUCAAAUCUAGCAAGUUAUGGAGCAAAGAAGUGGAGGAAAAUUAUUUUUCGCUCAGGAGUGGGAGCAGAACACUUGCAGAUUUCGGACCAUUGUGGAUGUACCGUGUUUUUUGGACCGAAAGGCUUUUUUGGAUUAUGCUCGCUGGACCUUAUCGGACAGAAUGAGACCACACUCGACGUGAAUAGACAAUGUUUGGGUUCAGAAGUCGUCAAAAAUGAUCUUAAUGCGGAUUCAUUGUGCUGCUGUCUUCGCUCCUUCAAAAUGAGACUCUGCAGUGAAUACUAAAGAGAUUAAUGGUCGUGAAGGAACUGCUACAAGUAUCCAAAUAAAGAAAUGUGAGAAGAAAUAGGGAGUGGGAGCUGGAUGCUUAAUGGGCCACUAACUUUGGGCUUAAUACAGGUGAGCGUUUGUGAUUAUGUGGGUAUAAAUUUAUUCUAAUUAACGUCUUUCUGCUUUUCUUCUCCGCUUCUCUGUUGAAACAUUCAGGUUGCAACAGAGAUGUGGUAAAUAUGCUAAUUUGAAAUAAAUUAAAAAGCCGGUGGCAUCAUCCAGAGGCUGCCAGGCAGACAGAGACGCAUCACCAUGGGUUAUUUCACAGCCCAGAUAUUAACAAAGGCUCCUCAGACUUGGCCUCAGGCAACAAGGUCUGAACCACAGGGCUCAAGUAUUCCCUGCAGGAGUCGAACUGAACACGGUGGCGGUGGGAUGCGUUUACUCCAAGCAGGAAGGGACCAGGCUUCGUGUGCUGCUUUCAGAACCGCCGCUACAAUAGAGACACAUGCAGCAAAAAAACACCAAACAGCAGCCUAGAAAAAAGAGGCCUCAAACUGAACCUAGGAGCUGCUCCGGUUCUGACCUGGAAUCCUUUGGUCCAGAUUGAUGCUGUCUUUACAGGACAGAGCGGAACCUGGCGCCAGAACCCAAAACCCAAAGACAAACUGAAGACCUGCUCAUCCAGCUUCAUUCUGCAGCAGCAGUUUAAAGACGUCCAGGAUGCAUUUGUUUUCCCCUCUCUGUUUGUAACAUCGUUUGGACAGCGAACUGACCACCAUCUCACCUUUGCAUCCGCCAGCGACGGGUCUGGGUGGAGCUCCGGCAGCUUAAAGGGCAGCGAGGCCACAGCGGAGAGCCCAGAUAAAUGAGGCGUGUAUUUCACCAGUUUCUCCCACCACGUCAAGGUGGGCGACAUCCGUCACUCCACCACAAUGACACUUUAAAUUGGUUACGUCAAAUUAAGCUGAUGUAUCAUGGCGCUGAGCCGGGGGCUUCAAAUUGGUUUGGGGGCCUGUUAUGAGGAAUAGGUCAGCAUUCAUCAACACUGGCUUUUACUUGUCCCCAGGCAGGUUCUGGUGCACUUCCCGCUUCCCCCGACCAGUGAUCAGUCAGGACUGCGUCACGCUGAGUCCUUAUAACAUAUAACAGGUGGACUUUACUGACUGCUGGUCUCAGUCGAGCCUUGAAGGCCUCCGUCUUCCUGCUGGUGAUUUUCCUAAGCAGCUCAGCCAGUUUUCAGUCAGCUUUGAUUAAAAUUCAUGCCAGAAUAGAAUGCCUAAUUAAUUAACCUAAUGAUUUAUUAACCAUCACACUCCGAAUCUGGCAGCGCGCUGCAUGAAUGAUGUGUUGAUUUCAUGCACGCACAGUCUCCUGCAUUGGGUAGAUGCGGUCUCGUCCAGACUCCGUCCAGAGAGGCGACACAUGGUGCUACGUGCCCCGGCGCCGCAGCCAUGCAUGUUUGGACUGCGGAAAUGCUGAUAAAAAUGAUACGGCUCAGCGAUUCACAUCCACACCUCCAGCCAUGUGGAAAGUGCAGACACAAGCUGUAUCAGUUUAACACGUUGGACACAUUUGCACACUUAGUGCAGAUGGUUUCUUCUUUGCUGUUCUCAGAAAACGCAGGACUUGUGGGACGGACUAUGACAGGACUGUUCAGCUGUGGAAAGUUGUCAAGCUGCGUUAAACGGAGUCCAGUUAUUCAGACCAACACGUCAACACGUUUUUCUAGAUUCAGGCCCUCGUUUUUUAUUUUU